GACGAACGCUGGCGGCGUGCUUAACACAUGCAAGUCGAACGGAAAGGCCCUGCUCUUGUGGUGUGCUCGAGUGGCGAACGGGUGAGUAACACGUGAGUAACCUGUCCUUGACUUUGGGAUAACUUCAGGAAACUGGGGCUAAUACCGGAUAGGAGCUCCUGCUGCACGGUGGUGGUUGGAAAGUUUCGGCGGUUGGGGAUGGUCUGGCAGCUUAUCAGCUUGUUGGUGGGGUAGUGGCUUACCAAGGCUUUGACGGGUAGCCGGCCUGAGAGGGUGACCGGCGACAUUGGGACUGAGGUAGGGCCCAGAAUCCUACGGGAGGCAGCAGUGGGGAAUCUUGCACAAUGGGCGGAAGCGAGAUGCAGCAACGCCGCGUGCGGGAUGACGGCCUUCGGGUUAUAAACAGCUUUGGCAUGUGACGAGGCGUGCGUGACGGUAAUGGGUAAAGAAGCACCGGCUAACUACGUG
This 468-nucleotide ribosomal RNA is filed under the name uncultured bacterium. RNAcentral describes it as "partial 16S ribosomal RNA". It matches the Rfam family "Bacterial small subunit ribosomal RNA", at positions 28 to 507 of the family's 1533-position model. The record is from RNAcentral.